RNAcentral lists this small nuclear RNA (107 nucleotides) under Cervus hanglu yarkandensis (Yarkand deer). Lineage: Eukaryota; Metazoa; Chordata; Mammalia; Artiodactyla; Cervidae. The record is from RNAcentral.
GUGCUCACUUCGGCAGCACAUAUACUAAAAUUGGAACGAUACAGAGAAGAUUAACAUGGCCCCUGCACAAGGAUGACAUGCAAAUUUGUGAAGCAUUCCAUAUUUUU